Molecule: ribosomal RNA, 256 nt
Filed under: uncultured bacterium
Lineage: Bacteria
Description: partial 16S ribosomal RNA
Rfam family: Bacterial small subunit ribosomal RNA
Source: RNAcentral
UAAUACGGAGGGGGCUAGCGUUGUUCGGAAUGACUGGGCGUAAAGCGCGCGUAGGCGGAUUGGCAAGUUGGGGGUGAAAUCCCGGGGCUCAACCUCGGAAUGGCCUUCAAGACUGCCGGUCUUGAGUUCGAGAGAGGUGAGUGGAAUUCCGAGUGUAGAGGUGAAAUUCGUAGAUAUUCGGAGGAACACCAGUGGCGAAGGCGGCUCACUGGCUCGACACUGACGCUGAGGUGCGAAAGCGUGGGGAGCAAACAGG